Long non-coding RNA from Felis catus (domestic cat), 2454 nucleotides. RefSeq lists it as uncharacterized. The transcript has 3 exons. The record is from RefSeq and is a predicted model, not a curated record. NCBI's taxonomy places the organism in Eukaryota, Metazoa, Chordata, Mammalia, Carnivora, Felidae.
GCGCAGGAUCUGAACUCACGAACUGUAAGAUCAUGAUCGAGCUGAAAUUGGAUGCUUAACCAACUGAGCCAGCCACCCAGGUGCCCCUAAAUAAAAUCUUAAAAAAAAAAAAAAAAGCUAUGGAUCAAAGAUCAAGAGAAAGAGUGGCAAUCCUUUUACUCAUUACUGCUUAUUGAUAAUUGUGUUAUGAAGAGUUGUAUAGAUACAUAGUUUUCAUUUCAAAAGUCUUUUAUAUGAGGGGGAAGAGGAUGAAGCAGUAACAAAACUGGUGUCAACCAUUUUCCUAAUUUGCAGUCUAUUUACACUUUAGAAUGUAUCUGGGUUUUUUAGGCUUAACUGAUUUUUUUUCAAGAUUUAAAAAAUUUUUGAAGUAAUCUGUCCCCAACAUGGGGCUCAAAGUCAACCCGAAGAUGAAGAGUUGCAUGGUCUACCAACUGUGCCAGCCAGGCAUGCACUAAUUUUUAAAAGUAAAGUUGCUGGUUUACAAUUUGUAUUACUGUUGCAUAUUGAGUAAUGUGUACACUUUGAAUAAUUGCUGCAUUAGAAUUAAAUUUGUUAUGAAGUUGAUUUAGCAGUACUUCUUUCCUUAUUUUGGCUUUGUUUUUAUCUACUAGCUAAAGAAAAGUGCCUUAUAGUUAUCCCUGAAUACCAGUGUUUAAGAAACAUUGACUGAAUUAGAUCAUCUUGUGUCUUAGCUAUAGAAAAAAGUUUUGGGAUUAAAGUGCCAUUGCCACUGCAACAAUAAAGUUUUCUUCUCUGAGCUGGGAUAUUUUAUUUCAUUCAAAUUUUCUCUUGGCAAUAUGUAAAAUAAAUGAAUAGAAUUCUAAAAAAUGAACCUUAGGUAAAACAGAAACUAAUGACAUUCUCAUAGGAAAACCCUAAAAACUGGGUAGUCUAACAUGAUUGAUAUUUUUGUGAGUUAACUUUUUAAAAUGAUUAUAUUUUUAUUUCAAAAAUAAUGUGUGUAGUAUGGAGUCUACAAAAUACAGUUAAGAGCAAAUAAGAAAGUUAAAUCAUGAGCUGAUUUUAAAAAUUAUUGGUGUAUUUGAAUUUAUGAGUAAUAUGGAUAUAUCUGUAGUAAAACUAGUUUUUAAGUUAGGGCGCCUGGGUGGCUCAGUUGGUUAAGCAUCUGACUUUGGCUCAGGUUGUGAUCUCACAGUUUGUGGGUUUGAGCCUCGUCAUGCUCUGUAGUGACAGCUCAGAGCCUAGAGCCUGCUUCAGAUUCUGUGUCUUCCUUUGUGCCCACCUCCUCCACCUGUGUUCUUGCUCUCUCUCAAAAAUAAAUAGACUUAAAAAAAUAGUUUUAAGUCAUUUGUGCAUGCUGGUAAGAGGGUAGACUUUAUCCUUAAUUAUUGUUUCUGCAAUUUCUUAGUAUUUUUUAUCCCAGAAAAAGAACUUUGUUGUGGCUGUAGUCACAGAGGAGCAGAUUUGGAUCUUGAAAAUUAUGCGUUGUACCUACCUAUAUGCUUGCUGUGACUUGGUUUUGUCUACCUAAAUAUUUGAAGCCACAAAAUUUCCCUGUAUCUCUUAUGCCACCUACUUUGGUUUCAUAAUAGGCACCCCUUACAUAACUUUUAGUGUUCCCCAAAGGAAUUAUUCUACAAAAUAGUUUCCAAUGUAUCAGGACUCUACUUUUCUCCUAGUAUGCAUAUGAUCAAAUUGAAUAAGUCCUAAUUCCUAGUGCACAGUAUAAAUAAUCCAUCCUUUAAGGUACUUUGUACUCUGCUAAAAUUAAGAUUAAAACAUAAUGUAUAUAUUUUUCACUAAGCCAGAAGCAAUCUAUAUUUAAGGAUUUGUGUUUUGUGCGCUGUUCCAAGAGGGUCUGAUAAUCCCUGUGAUUAGAGAAACGUAAGAUUUAUGUUUGCUGUGGAGAAACAUGAUCAUCUUGGUUACUAUGAAUCAUUCUGGAAACAUCCCAUCUCUGUUUCCCAAUUACUCAGAUCAUUAGAUCAAAUUUAGUUCAGUUCAACAAACAUGAAGCACCUUUUAAUGUCUCAACAAGUCUACAGUGAUACAGGGAACACAAGCAUAUAAACAAUUACAAUGCAAUGUGAAGCAAAGGGUGGAAAGUGCUGGAGAUGUCAUUUAUCAUAUCAUGAAGACAAGAAUCCACCACACUUGGCCAUAAGAGAAGAAGAAGAAGAAGAAGAAGAAGAAGAAGAAGAAGAAGAAGAAGAAGAAUAUGGACUCUGCUGUUAGCUAGAUCUGAAUUCCAGCCCCAGCCCCACCUUUGCCACCUAGUAGUUGAGAGGCCUGGGCAAGUUACUUCGUUUCCCCUCAGAAGAAUACCUACCCAUGAGGUUGUUGCAGGAAGCAAAUGGUAUAAUACUUAUAAAUCACUUAGUACAAUUUCUGCCAUAUCAAUAAAUAGCAGCUCUUGUUAUAAAUUUUGAUCUGAUAAAAAUUUUACUUAAAAAAAUAAAACCUUUCAUUGGGAAAGAAAAAAUGAUAACA